GAAAAACAUAACAGAAGCGUUGUAUUCUUUUCUAUAUGAUAACAUCAGAGUACUGUAUUAUAGUAGGCCAGAAAUAGAUGGUAUGGGUUUUAAUGUGUGUUUGAUCUCUAGCUAGCUUUUUGACUUUGGGCAAUCUCCUUAAUCUUGGUCUCAGUUCCCUUUUCUGUAAAGUUGUGAGGUUGGAGUAAAUACUCUCUGAGAUAUAUUCUGCUAUUAAAAUUCUAUUAUUGAAUUUGAAAACCACUAAAGCUUUCAGUGAGUCUGAUUUAGGAGAGGGAUGAUACAACUUUUUUUUUAAGCUGGUAAAGUUUUUCAGUGAAAAAAGUAUUUAAAACCUCCUUGUAUUUGUUAAUUGAGCUAUUUUUUACUUAGAUGUGCAAGUUCAAAAUUUAGAUGUGUUUUUGACUCCAUAGCCAGUGGUUAAAAAGUGCAAUUUCUGGAGAUGGCCUAUGCUUCAUCAUUUUGAAUCUGUGGAACAUGGGCAUGUUCUGUAAUGUCUUUGUGCUCAGUUUACUCAUCUGUCAAUAGGAAGUAAUAAAAGCACCUGUAACAGGGAUUUUGUGAGAUUAUUCAGGGAAACUCUUAGCAAAUGACUAGAACAUUAACAUAUUCUUGGUAUACUCUGCUGUCACCAGCUAUCCCAGGCUAUUAUCACUCCAUACUUUAUUAGUGUAAUAAUAGCCUCCUGGUUUUAAAAUCUCUUCCUUUAAAAUCUAUUCUAUGCAUUCCUCCCAGCUUACACUGCCCAAAAUAUAAUUCUCAUAAUUCCCCUCCCCUGGUAAAAACUAUAGCAACAGAUUUCCAAUGCAACCAUAACCUGGCAUUUAAGACUUUCAUUAAUAUAUUGGUUCAAUUUGUCUUCCCAGUUUCAUUCCAUUACUUCCUCAUAUAUAAAGGCUUUGCAUGAAUGGAACUCCCCAAAUGUCCCUGAGAACAAGUGCUCUGCUUGUCUGUGUUAUGCAAUUAAGAGCAGAGGUUAUGAUGCUACUUUAUACCCCAGUAUCAAUCCAGGACCUGGAACACAGUGAGCAGGCGAUGCUUGUUGAAAUGAACAGCUUCUUCUAAUACUAUUUUCCUCCCAGAAAUUCUCUAUUCUUAUCUUUGCCUACAUAACACCUAUCCUUCAAGGUCCCAUUCAAAUAUUAUGAAUUACUGCUAUUCAUAAGCUGCCUACUUCCUCUCAUAGUAAUAUCAUGUGUCUCUCUGGUAGCAUUUAUAUUCUGCUGUGAUUAUAAUUGUUUUUGUCAUUAUCUUAUGUCCUAAUUUUUCAGUGGCAUUGAGAGCAGUGUACUAUGUCUUAUUCAAUUUUAUUUCCUGCAAUGCCUAGCAUUUGGCUUUGACUGUGUUAACUGCAAGUGGCCAGUUGUGGAGUCAAUGGACAUGACUAACAGAAUAAUAUUAUUCAUUGUUUCGUCUUCAUUUUUUAAAGUGACCCUAUUUCCAUAGAAGCAAAUCUACAUUCCUUGUCAGGCUUCUGAGUCUCUCCAUAUCCACUCACAUCCUCUCCAUGUAACAUGACUUUAUGGAACUGUUGAAGUCCUACUGGCCUUCUUAUUAUUCCAUGGACAUACCAUAUUCAUUCUUAACCCCCUCCCUUUGCUAAUGUUUCCUUGGCCUGAGUGCAGUCCUGUCUUCUUUUUCAGCUUUCCAAGCCUUAUUUCAGGUCCCAGCUCAGUUCCUGAUUUUUCCAUGGAGCAGUCCAUGAUUAUUUCAGCAAUGUUUCUUCUCUUUCACAACUGAAAGGAGAAAUUAAUACACUUAAUUUCAUACUUAGUCAUACAAAGACAUCCUCCCCAAACCCAGAACAAUUAAACUGGAAGAGAAUUUAAAAGUGUGGUACUACAGGUGUGCCUAGGUGGCUCAGCUGGUUAAGCAUCCAACUCUUGAUUUUGCUCAGGUCAUGAUCUCAUGGUUUGUGGGAUUGAGCCCUGUGUCAGGCUCUGCACUGGCAGUGUGGGGCCUGCUUGGGAUUCUCUCUCUCCCUCUCUCCCUCUUCCCCUCCUCCACUUGCACUUUCUCUCUCUCUCUCUCUCAAAAAUAAAUAAAUAAACUUAAAAAAGGGUUGUACUACAGAAAUUCUAAUAUGGAAACUUGAGAGGGGCUGUUUCCAUAUUAACACACUUAUAUUAUCUAUGUUAUCAAUAUUAUAUUAUCUAUACAGAUUAUCAUUCUUGACUACUUGUUUGUAAUAUGGUUAAGCAACUGAAUCACCUCUAGAAAAUAGUAUGACUUUAUAUAUAUAAGUGCUGAUUAUAUGUUAAUUCAAUAGAAAAAUAUGGCUUACAUUUGCAUCUUAUUUUUCAUGUGUUUUAGUCUUCUAAGCCAAUUAGAUAUUAAUUAGGUCCUUGUGGGAGAGGUCAAAUCUAGAACUCUUUGGAUUUCCUAUGUUAGCAAACAUAAUGCUGAUUGUGCUGGAGAUUUUGACACAUGAACAAUAUUCAUUGUUGGAUGGGACCUACCUGCCAAAACGCCUGGUUUACUUUAAAUUUAUUUCAUAAUACCUGACACUCUAACUUCAUUCCAUUUUUCCUGGUCUAUUGGCUCUAAGUUACUGCCAUACUUACACUUUUUCUCUGCUCUAUUGCCUUCUAAUUUACUGUCACACUUACUGGACUUCCCAGUAAAUAAGGCAACUAAAACUCUAUCAUUAGAGACUUACACAGAUACAUCCUGGGGGGUAGGUACACAGGGUGGGAGAGGAUUUAUUCUUUAUAUCACAUUCAUGCUAUUUUCACCUUUUGACAGAAGAUGAAAAUGGGGUAUAGUAUAAAUAUUUGUUGAGUGGUCAUAUAAAGAGUAGUGUGCUAGACAAUUUAUACACACUAUCAAGUUUUCUCUUCUCAACAAGUCUAUGUAGUUGCUGGUACUAAGCUACAUUUAUAGUCAUGAAAACUAAAGUUAAGAAGGAAGUAAUUUACUCAAGUUUUUAUCCUUAAACUUGAUCUCCGGUCUGUCUGAUACCAAGGUCCCCACUAACAGAAGGAAAUAAGACAGUGGAUCUCCAACUUUAAUAAGCAGAAAAGCCACCCAAGGACCUUCUUAAAAUACAUAUUACUGGGAUCUAUUCCAAAGAGUCCAAUUUGUUAGGUUUCGGGUAAAGCCCAGAAAUGUUUAUUUUAACAAACAUAAAAAAGGGUUCAUUUGGAAAAAUUUUGACAUAAGGAGUAGUUACAAUAACAAUAGUAUUAAUAUCAAUAACAACUAUACAACGUAUGGAUCAACACCACAUUGUCUACCAAUCACUGUACCACAUUACUAUUCCUCAGACAUCGUGUUAAGUAUUUAUAACACAUUUGUCAUUUAAUUCUCAUGGCCACCUUAAGAAGUAUAUAUUAUUAUCAUCUCCCUUUUAUGUGGGGAGGGAGCUAUGGUCAGAGAGGUCACAUAGUUAGUAAAUGGUGGAAAUAGUCUGACUACAAAGCUCAUGUCCACAACUCUAGGAAAGGGGCAGCCAAAUGAAAGGAAAACCAGGGAGAAUGCUAUGACAGAGCCCAAAGGAAGAGUGCACAAAAGCAGAAGAUGUCAGUGCCAGAGUUAAAUGGGAUAGGUAAUGAGAAGCAUUCCCUGGAUUUGUAAAUGAGGAGGUCAUUGCUGAUGUUAGCAGUGUCAGCUUGAGUAAAAAGAUUGAGCAGUAAUGGGAGUAGUAAGGCAGAAUGUAGAGAGUUAAAGAAUGAAUGGAAGAUGUAAAAAAAUAGCUUAAAUCCUCAUUUUAUGAGUUCCAAUAAAAGGUAAGGGAAUGAGGAGGGAUUGUUUUAGGGAGAAAUGCAAAUUAGGUGAGCAUUUUAAAAAAUAUGGGAUAGUCAUGAAAAUAUUAAGAAAAAAGGAGCAAUGAAGAAAGUGGAUAAGGAUCAAAAAGGUAGAAUUAAUGACAGCUCUUUGGAGAAGAUAGGAUAGAUUUGUUAGCUUUGUUUAGAAGCACUUAUUUUUCUGGGAUAGGAGGGAAUAGGGUAAAGAGGAGCACAGCUAUGGAUACAGGUGUAAGUAUUUGGUAGAGAGGCAGACAUGGGCAUUUACAGAUAGUGCAAUGGAACGUUAAAGUAGCUCAUGUGUGAUGGAUUUUAUUUUUUGCAUUGGGAAAGUUAAUAGUGCCUUCAAACAAACUGAUGAAGAUUUAGUAUAGCUAUUGUGGGGAGAUAGAGUCAGGACUGAUUAGAGAUAUAUAAAAGGAUUGCUGUGGGGUUAAAAGCCCAGUUGAGGGGAAAAAUCAUAUAUUGUAAUAGUAUCAAUGUGCAUGACUGUGUAGUUUUUCUUCAGUGGUGAUCAGUAGAGGGAGAGAACUAGACGCCAGGACUGGGUUCAUCUUAGCUUAGGAAUUUGGUAAAAGCACAUAAUGUGGGCAACAAUGUCACGUAUCUGAAGGUGUUGACAAUAGGCGUGGUGAAAUGAAGGACUUUGAGGCUGGAAUUAAAGAAGACAGUGAAACUUAUGGACCUAGAGGUAAGGGUGACCAAGGAAUUGGGUUUGAAAGAGAUGGUAAAUUAGUACAUGGUAAAAAUAGUGAAAGAACUGGAAAAGUAUGCAGUUGUGGGCUCAAAAUGGGAAUGAAUGGGAUCAAUUGUAUUUUAGUAUAUAUGGCAGCAACCUGACAGGAGUGUGGUUUUUUUAGCUCCCACGAUCCAAUCUAUCUUUCUCUUACUUUUCAGGAAAUCUGAAAUCCUAAAGUCAAAGGACAAGGUCUAAUUUUGGCUUUGUGUUGUCCUCUCAGCCUCUCUUGUCUGAAAUCCACAAUCCAGUUGCCCUAUUCAGUUUGGACUUUGGCUAAUAAUACUCAUAGUCUGCCCCUAAGAGAAAGACAAGAGAAUAUGGACUUAUUUGGGAAGAUGGAUGACAUAUUAUACAAUUUUAUGAAUUCCUCAAAAAGGUUAAACAUCCACUAUGUGCCAUGGACUAUAUUAAGUGGGUCCAUUAAAGCAGAGACAAUGUGUCCUCAGUAAGGAGCACAGUACUUGACACAUGCCUGGAUACACGGACAUCUGCCAGAACCAGCUCAGCACAAGCACUCUCUCCCCAGCUUCCUGCAGAAUACCCUGCCACCAUGUUCUCCUGUGGACGACCUCCCUCCAACAUACUCUUGGCAAGAGUCCAUUAAAGCAGCACCACAAGCCUGGCAUUGUGCAAGCAGCCCUGAGAAAGGCUAGUACCACUCCAAAGUGACUUCUGCCUCAGGGAGAGAGGAAGAUAACCACAACCACCAGUAUGACUGUGGCCCCAGCAGUGGUGGUGGCAGACAUCUGGUGUGACUGUAGGUCCCUCCCAGCAGUGAAAGAUUCUCAAGGGACAACUCAGGAGAAUGCCCUGGAAUUUGGUACAACUGCAGCUCUGGCAAACACCUGAUCUGACUAAACUCAAGUCCAAGGCAGCCCCAGACUGGCCCACUAAUAACACAGGGACCAAACCCUGCCCACAACAGACAAAAAAAGUCAUUACAUGACUAGACUGCAAGCAAAUGCAGCACAACCAGCACAACAGAAAGCAUGCAACACACAUAGGAGACAUCAGAAGUGGUUCUGGCCGACGGGGCAUUACAUUGCAGGGCACUGCAGGACCUCUUUUUCAUAAGGCCACUACUUUUCUUUUGUUGUUUUUGGGAUUAUCUCUCCCUCUUCUCUCUUUCUGCUCCUCCCUUGCUUGUGCAUGCACUCUCUCUCUCUCUCUCUCUCAAAAUAAAUAAAUAAACUUAAAAAAUGAUUAAAAAAUUUAGAGUGCUAUAUGCAUAAGAUGUUACAUCAACCUAAUGGUAACCACAAAUCAAAAUCUGAUAAUAGAAAUACAAAAAAUACAAAGAAAGGAAUCCAAGUAUAUCACUAAAGAAAACCAGCAAGCCAUGAGAGUAGAGAACAAGAGAAUAAAGGAACAGAGAAGAACUACAAAAAUAAUCAUAAACCAUGUAACAAAAUGGCAAUAAGUACACACUUAUGAAUAAUUACUUUGAAUGUCAGUGGAUUAAAUGCUCCAACCAAAAGACAUAAAGUGACAGAAUGGAUAAAAAAACAAGACCCAUCUAUAUGCUGCCUCUAAAAGACUCAUUGAAGAUCUAAAGACAUGUGCAGUAAGACGGUGUAGUAAUACUUGUAUCGGACAAAAUGGAUUAAAACAAAGACUGUAAGAAGAGACAAAGAAUAACACUAAAUAAUCAUAAAAGGAUCAAUAUAACAAGAAAAUAUAAUAAUUUUAAAUAUUUAUGCCUACAACAUGAAGCACCUAAAUACAUUAAGCGGCUAAUAACAAACAUUAAGGAAGUAAUGUAUAGUAACUAUAAAAUAGUGGGGGAUGUUAACACCCCACUGAUAUCAAUGGCAGGUCAUACAAACAGAAAAUCAACAAGGAAACAGUAGUUUUGAAUGACACAUUGGACCACAUGGAUAUAACAGAUAUAUUCAGAACAUUCUGUCCUAAAACAGCAGAAUGCACAUUCUUUUUGGGUGCACAUGGAACAUUCUCCAGAAUAGAUCACAUAUUAGGUCACAAGACAAAUCUCAACAAAUUCAAAUAGAUUGAAAUCAUACCAUGCACCUCUUCUGACCAGAAUGCUAUAAAACUAGAAGUCAACCAUAAGAAAAAAAAUGUGGAGGGGACACAAAUACAUGGAAGUUAAAGAACAUAUUACUAAACAGUGAAAGAGAUAACCAAGAAAUCAAAGAAGAAAUUAAAAAAAUACAUGGAAUAUAAUUUUUACCUUCCAUAUAAACCAAAAAAUACAAAUGAAAAUGAAAACACAAUAGUCCCAAAUCUUUGGGAUGCAGCAAAAGCAGUUCUAAGAGGGAAGUUUAUGGCAAUACAGGUCUACCUCAAGAAGUGAGAAAAUCUAAAAUAAACCACCUAAUCCGAAUCCUAAUCCUAAUCCUCAUCCCAAUCCUCCUUUAGGAGCUAGAAACAGAAGAACAAACUAAACCCCAAACCAACAGUAGGAAAGAAAUAAUAAGGAUUAGAGCAGAAAGAAAUGAGAUAGAAACUAAAAUCAAUCAAACAAAAAUCUAAUUGAACAGAUCAAGAACCAGGAGCUGGUUCCUUGAAAAGUUCUACAAAAUUGAUAAAACAUUAUCAAGGUCAUCAAAUAAAAAAAGAGAAAGGGCUCAAAGAAACAAAAUGAGAAAUGAAACAGGAGAAAUAACAACUGACACCACAGAAAUACAAAGGACUGUGAGAGAAUAUUAUGAAAAACUCUCUGCCAACAAAUUGGACAACCAAAAAGAAAUUGAUAAAUUCCUAGAAACAUAUAACCUCCCAAAACUGAAUCAAGAAGAAAUAGAAGAUUUGAACAGACUGAUAUCCUGCAAUGAAAUUGAAUCAUUAAAAAACUCUCAACAAACAAAAGUCCAGGACUGCCUCACAGGUGAAUUCUACCAAACAUUUAAAGACUUAAUACCUAUUCUCCUCAGAGGCACUUGGGUGGCUCAGUCGGUUAAAGGUCAGUAAACAAAAUUAAAAAGGAAAUAAAACGUAUCCAAAUUGGUAAAGAAGAAGUAAAGCUUUCACUAUUUGCAGAUGACAUAAUACUAUAUAUUGAAAACCCUAAAGACUCCACUGAAAAACUACUAGAAUUAAUGAAUGAAUUAAAUUGAGUAAGGAUGCCGGUCACAAAAUCAAUAUACAGAAAUCCAUUGCACUUCUUUUUUUUAUUAAUUUUUUUUUAGUCUUUAUUUAUUUUUGUGAGAAAUUGCACAAGCAGGAGAAGAACAGAGAGAGAAGGAGACACAGAUUCCGAAGCAAGCUUCAGGCUCUGAGCUGUCAGCACAGAGCCCGACUAGGGGCUCCAUCUCAGGAGCUGUGAGAUCAUGACCUGAGCCGAAGUUGGCCGCUUGACAGACUGAGCCACCCAGGUGCUCCUCCAUCGCACUUCUAUACAGUAACAAUGAAGUAGCAGAAAGAGAAAUUAAGAAAACAGUCCUGUUUCCAAUUACAGCAAAAAUAAUAAAAUACCUACGAAUAAACUUAACCAAAGAGUUGAAGACCCAUGCUCCAAAAAGUAUAAAACACUGAUGAAAGAAAUUGAAGAUGACACAAACAAAUGGAAAGACAUUCCUUGCUCAUGGGUUGGGAGAACAAAUAUUGUUAAAAUGUCCGAUAUUACCCAAAGCAAUCUACAGAUUCAAUGUAAUCCCUAUCAAAAUACCAACAGGGAUGCCUGGGUGGCUCAGUCGGUUACGCUGCCAACUUUGGCUCAGGUCAUGAUGUCACAGUGCAUGAGUCUGAGCCCCACUUCAGACUCUGCUGACAACUCAGAACCUAGAGCUUUCUUCAGAUUCUGUGUUUCUAUCUCUCUCUGCCCUUCCCCUGCUCAUGCUCUGUCUCUCUCUCUGUCUAAAAGAAAAGAAAAGAAAAGAAAAGAAAGUAAAAUAAAAUAAAAUAAAAUAAAAUAAAAUAAAAUAAAAUAAAA
Molecule: long non-coding RNA, 8377 nt
Organism: Acinonyx jubatus (cheetah)
Lineage: Eukaryota; Metazoa; Chordata; Mammalia; Carnivora; Felidae
Exons: 5
Source: RefSeq, a predicted model, not a curated record